CGGCGGACGGGUGAGUAACACGUGGAUAACCUACCUAUAAGACUGGGAUAACUUCGGGAAACCGGAGUUAAUACCGGAUAAUAUAUUGAACCGCAUGGUUCAAUAGUGAAAGACGGUUUUGCUGUCACUUAUAGAUGGAUCCGCGCCGCAUUAGCUAGUUGGUAAGGUAACGGCUUACCAAGGCAACGAUGCGUAGCCGACCUGAGAGGGUGAUCGGCCACACUGGAACUGAGACACGGUCCAG
This 244-nucleotide ribosomal RNA is filed under the name uncultured Staphylococcus sp. Its description in RNAcentral is "partial 16S ribosomal RNA". It matches the Rfam family "Bacterial small subunit ribosomal RNA", at positions 96 to 334 of the family's 1533-position model. The record is from RNAcentral. Lineage: Bacteria; Bacillati; Bacillota; Bacilli; Caryophanales; Staphylococcaceae.